RNAcentral lists this non-coding RNA (46 nucleotides) under Trichobilharzia regenti. The record is from RNAcentral. Lineage: Eukaryota; Metazoa; Platyhelminthes; Trematoda; Strigeidida; Schistosomatidae.
GGACUACUGAAGAGUCCCAAACUAGGACGAAACAGAUGUCCAGUAC